This 442-nucleotide ribosomal RNA is filed under the name uncultured bacterium. RNAcentral's name for it is "bacterial SSU rRNA". It matches the Rfam family "Bacterial small subunit ribosomal RNA", at positions 64 to 507 of the family's 1533-position model. The record is from RNAcentral.
GAGGGGUAUAGGUUUUCGGACCUAGAGACCGGCGCACGGGUGCGUAACGCGUAUGUAAUCUACCUUUUACAGAGGGAUAGCCCAGAGAAAUUUGGAUUAAUACCUCAUAGUAUAAUGACUCGGCAUCGAGAUAUUAUUAAAGUUCCAACGGUAAAAGAUGAGCAUGCGUCCCAUUAGCUAGAUGGUAAGGUAACGGCUUACCAUGGCGACGAUGGGUAGGGGUCCUGAGAGGGAGAUCCCCCACACUGGUACUGAGACACGGACCAGACUCCUACGGGAGGCAGCAGUGAGGAAUAUUGGUCAAUGGGCGCAAGCCUGAACCAGCCAUGCCGCGUGCAGGAUGACGGUCCUAUGGAUUGUAAACUGCUUUUGUACAGGAAGAAACACUGGUUCGUGAACCAGCUUGACGGUACUGNUAGAAUAAGGAUCGGCUAACUCCGUG